This 310-nucleotide ribosomal RNA is filed under the name uncultured bacterium. RNAcentral's name for it is "bacterial SSU rRNA". It matches the Rfam family "Bacterial small subunit ribosomal RNA", at positions 28 to 337 of the family's 1533-position model. The record is from RNAcentral.
GACGAACGCUGGCGGCGUGCUUAACACAUGCAAGUCGAGCGGUAAGGCCCUUUCGGGGUACGACGAGCGGCGGAACGGGUGAGUAACACGUGGGUGACCUCGCCCUCAGCUCUGGGAUAAGCCUGGGAAACUGGGUCUAAUACCGGAUAUGACUCCAUGACGCAUGUUGGUGGGGUGGAAAGCCUUGUGCGGCUGAGGAUGGGCCCGCGGCCUAUCAGCUUGUUGGUGGGGUGAGGCCUACCAAGGCGACGACGGGUAGCCGGCCUGAGAGGGCGACCGGCCACACUGGGACUGAGACACGGCCCAGACU